UACGGGGGGGGCAAGCGUUGUUCGGAAUUACUGGGCGUAAAGGGCUCGUAGGCGGCCAACUAAGUCAGACGUGAAAUCCCUCGGCUUAACCGGGGAACUGCGUCUGAUACUGGAUGGCUUGAGGUUGGGAGAGGGAUGCGGAAUUCCAGGUGUAGCGGUGAAAUGCGUAGAUAUCUGGAGGAACACCCGUGGCGAAAGCGGCUCUCUGGGACGGUACUGACGCUGAGACGCGAAAGCGUGGGGAGCAAACAGG
This 253-nucleotide ribosomal RNA is filed under the name uncultured bacterium. Its description in RNAcentral is "partial 16S ribosomal RNA". It matches the Rfam family "Bacterial small subunit ribosomal RNA", at positions 524 to 776 of the family's 1533-position model. The record is from RNAcentral.